CCUACGGGAGGCAACAGUGAGGAAUAUUGGUCAAUGGACGAGAGUCUGAACCAGCCAAGUAGCGUGAAGGAUGACUGCCCUAUGGGUUGUAAACUUCUUUUAUAAAGGAAUAAAACGAGGCACGUGUGCCUUUUUGCAUGUACUUUAUGAUUAAGGAUCGGCUAACUCCGUGCCAGCAGCCGCGGUAAUACGGAGGAUCCGAGCGUUAUCCGGAUUUAUUGGGUUUAAAGGGAGCGUAGAGGGGUUGUUAAGUCAGUUGUGAAAGUUUGGGGCUCAACCGUAAAAUUGCAAUUGAUACUGGCAGUCUAGAGUACAGUAGAGGUAGGCGGAAUUCGAGGUGUAGCGGUGAAAUGCUUAGAUAUAACGAAGAACCCCGAUUGCGAAGGCAGCUUACUAAGCUGUGACUGACAUUGAGGCACGAAAGUGUGGGUAUCAAACAGGAUUAGAUACCCUGGUAGUC
Molecule: ribosomal RNA, 460 nt
Filed under: uncultured bacterium
Lineage: Bacteria
Description: partial 16S ribosomal RNA
Rfam family: Bacterial small subunit ribosomal RNA
Source: RNAcentral